AAAACAUUUCUUUUUGAUUAUAAUAUUAAGUAGUCUCUGCCCAAUGAUUAUUUUAAUGGCUGCAGUAAUUUAACUGUACAAAGGUAGCAUAAUAAAUUGUUCUUUAAUUAAGAUCUUGAAUGAAAGAGUUGAUGAAUCAAAAACUUUAUUUGAUUUAUAAUUUGAAUUUAAUUUUAAAGUAAAAAUUCUUUAAUAAUUUUAUGGGACGAGAAGACCCUAUAGAAUUUUAUUAUCUUAAUUUAAAAAAUUAAUUAUUAUUAAUUUAUUGAUAAUUUGUUUGGGAGGAAUGGUAAAUUUAAAAACUUUAUUUUUUUUUAACAAAAAUAUUUGGUUUAAUAGAUUUUAGAUUUAAAUAUAAAAUUAAAUUACCUUAGGGAUAACAGCAUAAUAUUUUUGGAAAGAUCUUAUUUAUAAAAAUGUUU
This 422-nucleotide ribosomal RNA is filed under the name Holepyris sp. RNAcentral describes it as "partial large subunit ribosomal RNA". The record is from RNAcentral. Lineage: Eukaryota; Metazoa; Arthropoda; Insecta; Hymenoptera; Bethylidae.